CGCGUCCUCCAGCUCUCAUUUCUUGGAGGAGGCUCACUCUCACUUCCUCUCUAUUUCCACGACGUCGUCCCACUGGCUCCGGUUUCGUUCUCCUUUUUAAAAUUAUUUUCCAUGGCUCAUUUGUCCAGUUCGGUGCCGGUAAACGUGUCCAGCUGCCGAGGGGAGGAGACGCCGCGGUUACCGAGUCCACCGUCAACGUCACCACGGCCAUGUCCUGAUUUUCACACAGAAUCUCAGCAACAAAACUAAGAAAUGACCAGAAAUAAACCAAGAGAGCCGUUGACUUCCCCUACAAUCAGAUCAGAAUUGUAAGUUAUUGAUCCGAGGAGGAGCUGGUAGGUGAAUAUUCUCAACAGUCAUGCUAGCUCGGCAUGUUUUUAUCCUUUCGUGGGAUUGAGAUCUCUUUAAUGUUUCUAAAUUGACUUCCUUCCCGACCCGGGAGUCUUGUUUCCUCCUGGUAGGCUCAUGACCCGGAGCAGAAGCUAAGCGUUUCGCUCCCAGUGGGAUGAACCACUCAUUGAUGUGUGAAAGAGACGAAUGAGCCACGGAGGGAAGAUUAAACCAUCAUCGCCAUUAUUCAUUAGCUUUAGCUAGCUGUCCCUAAUAUCUGCACUCAAAUAAACAUGGCGACAGAAAAAAAAAAAAAAAUGGUCGAUA
Long non-coding RNA from Gasterosteus aculeatus aculeatus (three-spined stickleback), 657 nucleotides. The record is from Ensembl. Lineage: Eukaryota; Metazoa; Chordata; Actinopteri; Perciformes; Gasterosteidae.